GACGAACGCUGGCGGCGUGCCUAAUACAUGCAAGUUGAGCGCUGAAGGUUGGUACUUGUACCAACUGGAUGAGCAGCGAACGGGUGAGUAACGCGUGGGGAAUCUGCCUUUGAGCGGGGGACAACAUUUGGAAACGAAUGCUAAUACCGCAUAAAAACUUUAAACACAAGUUUUAAGUUUGAAAGAUGCAAUUGCAUCACUCAAAGAUGAUCCCGCGUUGUAUUAGCUAGUUGGUGAGGUAAAGGCUCACCAAGGCGAUGAUACAUAGCCGACCUGAGAGGGUGAGCGGCCACAUUGGGACUGAGACACGGCCCAAACUCCUACGGGAGGCAGCAGUAGGGAAUCUUCGGCAAUGGACGAAAGUCUGACCGAGCAACGCCGCGGGAGUGAAGAAGGGUGUCGGAUCGUAAAACUCUGUUGGUAGAGAAGAAAGUUGGUGAGAGUGGAAAGCUCAUCAAGUGACGGUAACUACCCAGAAAGGGACGGCUAACUACGUG
RNAcentral lists this ribosomal RNA (497 nucleotides) under uncultured bacterium. RNAcentral's name for it is "partial 16S ribosomal RNA". It matches the Rfam family "Bacterial small subunit ribosomal RNA", at positions 28 to 507 of the family's 1533-position model. The record is from RNAcentral.